UAAAAAAUUUGGCGGUAUUUUAGUCUAUUCAGAGGAACCUGUUUUAUAAUCGAUAAUCCACGGUGGACCUUACUUAAAUUUGUAAUCAGUUUAUAUACCGUUGUUAUUAGAAUAUUUUAUAAGAAUGAUAAUUUUCAUAAUUUUUUUAAAAAAGUAUAUCAAAUCAAGGUGUAGCUUAUAUUUAAGUAAAAAUGGGUUACAAUAAAUUUAUUUAAAUGAAUAUAAAUUUGAAAUGUUUAUUGAAGGUGGAUUUGAUAGUAAAAUUAUAUAGAUUAAUAAUUUGAUUUUAGCUCUAAAAUAUGUACACAUCGCCCGUCACUCUUAUUAUUAAGAUAAGAUAAGUCGUAACAUAGUAGAUGUACUGGAAAGUGUAUCUAGAAUGCAAUUUAAAGCUUAUAAAGUAAAGUAUUUCAUUUACAUUGAAAAGAUUUUUGUGCAAAUCAAUAUGAAUUGAUUAAAUUUUAUUUAUUAAUUUUUUUUAAAAUUGUAUUUAAAUUAUUAAAAAUAAUUGUAGGUUGAUAAUUUUUAGUAUUUUAUAAAGAAAAAAUAAUUUUUAUAAUAGUUUAUUAGUAUUGUGAAAGAAAAUUGAAAUAAUUUGAAAAAUUUUUAUAUUGUAAGAAAAUUU
This 625-nucleotide ribosomal RNA is filed under the name Stevenia hertingi. RNAcentral's name for it is "partial 12S ribosomal RNA". The stretch from base 383 to 454 matches the Rfam family "tRNA". Lineage: Eukaryota; Metazoa; Arthropoda; Insecta; Diptera; Rhinophoridae. The record is from RNAcentral.